GCCUCGGUAGUGUAAAGGAUCAGCACGGGAGACCUGAAAUCUGAAAGUGCGAGUUCGAGUCCCACCUGAGGUU
This 73-nucleotide transfer RNA is filed under the name Dictyocaulus viviparus (bovine lungworm). It matches the Rfam family "tRNA". From Rfam's summary of the family: Transfer RNA (tRNA) molecules are approximately 80 nucleotides in length. Lineage: Eukaryota; Metazoa; Nematoda; Chromadorea; Rhabditida; Metastrongylidae. The record is from Rfam by way of RNAcentral.